AUGGUACCUAACCUUCUUCUUUCACGUCUUUCCACAGAGGGGAACAGCCGGUUGUGUGUCUCUGUUAGGGACUACUACUGUUACCGGCUACAGACGCGCCCUGCGAUAUUCAACCCCAUACUACAUGGAGCACGCCUGUUUCAGCAGUGGGGUGUCGACAUGUUCAUCAAGAUUGAGGGAUGUAGGCUAAAGUGGAUCAGGGACCACCAGAGAGAGAUACGUGCCGAUCUAUACCAAGGCCUUGUGGAUAGCAUCGCGGUUGGGGAGAUGCGGGCGAGCGCUGUUGGGAAGAGGAUCGUGCUGCCAGGGACGCAUCAAGGAAGCAACCGAGACAUGAAGCGGAGGCAGAUGGACGCCAUGGCACUGGUGCAGACAUAUGGGAAGCCUGACAUCUUUUUGACUAUGACAUGCAAUCCUAGCUGGGAGGAGAUACUGAAUGAGCUGCUUCCUGGCCAGACACCGCAGGACCGACCAGAUCUUGUCGCACGCGUGUUCAAGGCCAAGCUAGAGACCAUGAAAGAGAUGUUGUUCAAAAAGCACAUCCUUGGUGUUGUGGUAGCGCAUGUGUAUGUCGUCGAGUUCCAGAAGAGGGGCCUCCCCCAUGCACACUUCCUGUUGAUCAUGAAUUCAAAUUAUAAACUCGUGGUGCCAGAGCAGUAUGACCGCAUCAUAUCUGCAGAGCUCCCAGACAGGCAUAAGUAUCCAGAGCUCUAUGCCAUGGUCGUGAAGCAUAUGAUGCACGGCCCAUGUGGCAAUCUUAAUCCCAAAAAUGUGUGCAUGCAAGACUUGAAGUGCAAGAGCAAGUACCCACGACCGUUCAACCAAAACACCUUACAAGGGAAGGAUUCAUACCCGGUUUAUCGACGGCGAGACGAUGGUCGUCAGGCUAAGGUCCGUCGUCAAAUGUUGGAUAACAGAUGGGUCGUGCCUUACAACCCUUAUCUGUUGCGGAUGUUCAACUGCCACAUAAAUGUCGAGGUGUGCUCCAGCAUCAAGGCCGUCAAGUACCUUUACAAAUACGUAUACAAGGGUCACGAUCGAGCUUCAUUCAGCAUUGACCAGCCUGACAGCAACGGGGUUGUAGACGAGAUUAAAAGGUACGUUGAUGCGAGAUGGGUUACUCCACCAGAGGCAAUGUGGAGGAUAUUCGGCUUCAACCUUUCUGGGAGUUUCCCGUCGGUCCUACAGUUGCCGCUUCAUCUCCCUAAUAUGAAUAGUGUCACGUUCAAAGCAGGAGAGGACCUGACUGAUGUCGUCGCCCGUGAUACUGCAUCUAAGUCAAUGCUGACAGAGUAUUUCCUCGCUAAUCAGCAGCAUGUGUGGGCUCGGGAUAUCCUGUACAAGGACUUUCCGGGAAGUUUCACAUGGCAGAGACAGAAAUACUGGAGGCCGAGAGAAAAGCAGCACCAAGUAGGUCGAAUCGUGUCGGCCCAUCCAGCCGAGGGGGAGCGGUACUUUCUGCGAGUGCUGCUCAACCAUGUACCAGGCAAGACAUCCUUCGAGGACCUGCGGACCGUGGGCGGUGUGCUCUGUCAUAGCUUCCGUGAGGCUGCCGAGAGAUUGGGCCUCAUCGAGGCCGACAACACGCUUGACGAGUGUCUUAUAGAGUCAACACAGUUCGCGAUGCCAGCCUCACUCAGGAGGCUCUUUGCAACAAUCUUGGUAUUCUGCGAGCCAGGUGACGUGCGCGGUCUAUGGGAUAGGCACCUAGAGGCAAUGUCUGAUGACUACCGCCGAUCACACACGUGCUCAAAGGCAGUGGAGCAGAUGGUGUUGCUUGACAUAAGGGGCAUGCUACAAUCCAUGGGCAAAGACAUAGUGUUGUUCCCUCUUCCGGACAUCGAUGAGACCUAUGACACUACUGGAGGCGAGGCCAGAGAAGUCACCGAGGAGUCCUCCAUCGAGGUUGACGCGAACGAUGCUGGUUUAGCGUCCUCGCUAAACCCUGAGCAGAGGCUUGCAUACGACGAGAUACUGGCAACAGUCGAUGCUGGUGAUGGGGGUGUAUUCUUUGUUGAUGGCCCGGGAGGCACUGGGAAGACCUUCCUAUACAAGGCACUGCUCGCAAAGGUUCGAGGCGAGGGCAAGAUCGUGGUGGCUACGGCGACGUCGGGCGUCGCGGCUUCCAUCAUGCCUGGAGGAAGGACAGCCCACUCGAGGUUCAAGAUCCCACUCGGCAUUGAAGAUGGGGGGUCGUGCAACUUCACCAAGCAAAGUGGAACGGCCAAGCUCCUGCACAUGGCUUCACUCAUCCUAUGGGACGAGGCCACCAUGACGAAGCGACAAGCGGUUGAGGCACUGGACAAUAGCAUGCGGGACAUCAUGGGACGACGGGACCGACUAUUCGGGGGAAAGACUGUCGUGUUCGGUGGGGACUUCAGGCAGGUGCUUCCGGUCGUCAGGAAGGGGUCACGGGGUCAGAUAAUUGAUGCGACCUUGCGGAGUUCGUACAUAUGGAAGGGCAUGCGCCACCUAAGGCUCCUCACCAACAUGAGGGCGCAUAACGACCCGUGGUUCGCAGAUUACUUGCUAAGGGUAGGCAACGGCACCGAGGAAACCGACGAGGAAGGCAACAUAAGGCUCCCAGAAGAUAUUUGUGUGCAGCCAACAGAAGACGGCGUUGACCUAGAGAAGCUAAUCGACCAUGUAUUUCCUGCUCUAGACGACAACAUGGCUGAUCCAAAUUACAUGACAUCUCGAGCGAUCCUCUCCACCAAGAACGACAACAUUGAUAAGGUAAACACACGCAUGAUAGAGCGCUUCCAGGGCGAAGAGAAGAUCUACCACAGUUUUGAUAUUGCAGAGGAUGAUCCACAUGGCUACUAUGCCCCCGAGUUCCUGAACAACCUAACUCCCAACGGGCUGCCUCCGCAUGCGCUCAAACUGAAGUUAAAUUGCCCCGUUAUACUGUUGAGAAACAUUGAUCCAGCUAAUGGGUUGUGUAACGGCACAAGGCUUGUGGUCUAG
This 2967-nucleotide ribosomal RNA is filed under the name Triticum aestivum (bread wheat). RNAcentral's name for it is "partial small subunit ribosomal RNA". Lineage: Eukaryota; Viridiplantae; Streptophyta; Magnoliopsida; Poales; Poaceae. The record is from RNAcentral.